RNAcentral lists this ribosomal RNA (256 nucleotides) under uncultured prokaryote. Its description in RNAcentral is "partial 16S ribosomal RNA". It matches the Rfam family "Bacterial small subunit ribosomal RNA", at positions 521 to 776 of the family's 1533-position model. The record is from RNAcentral.
UAAUACAGAGGGGGCAAGCGUUGUUCGGAAUUACCGGGCGUAAAGGGCGCGUAGGCGGCCUGCUAAGUCGAACGUGAAAUCCCCGGGCUCAACCCGGGAACUGCGUUCGAGACUGGCGGGCUUGAAUUCGGGAGAGGGAUGCGGAAUUCCAGGUGUAGCGGUGAAAUGCGUAGAUAUCUGGGGGAACACCGGUGGCGAAGGCGGCAUCCUGGACCGACAUUGACGCUGAGGCGCGAAAGCCAGGGGAGCAAACGGG